Molecule: ribosomal RNA, 509 nt
Filed under: uncultured Bacteroidales bacterium
Lineage: Bacteria; Pseudomonadati; Bacteroidota; Bacteroidia; Bacteroidales
Description: bacterial SSU rRNA
Rfam family: Bacterial small subunit ribosomal RNA
Source: RNAcentral
GAUGGGGAUGCGUUCCAUUAGAUAGUAGNCGGGGUAACGGCCCACCUAGUCUUCGAUGGAUAGGGGUUCUGAGAGGAAGGUCCCCCACAUUGGAACUGAGACACGGUCCAAACUCCUACGGGAGGCAGCAGUGAGGAAUAUUGGUCAAUGGGCGCAGGCCUGAACCAGCCAAGUAGCGUGAAGGAUGACUGCCCUAUGGGUUGUAAACUUCUUUUAUAAAGGAAUAAAGUCGGGUAUGUAUACCCGUUUGCAUGUACUUUAUGAAUAAGGAUCGGCUAACUCCGUGCCAGCAGCCGCGGUAAUACGGAGGAUCCGAGCGUUAUCCGGAUUUAUUGGGUUUAAAGGGAGCGUAGAUGGAUGUUUAAGUCAGUUGUGAAAGUUUGCGGCUCAACCGUAAAAUUGCAGUUGAUACUGGAUAUCUUGAGUGCAGUUGAGGCAGGCGGAAUUCGUGGUGUAGCGGUGAAAUGCUUAGAUAUCACGAAGAACUCCGAUUGCGAAGGCAGCCUGCU